This 497-nucleotide ribosomal RNA is filed under the name uncultured bacterium. RNAcentral's name for it is "partial 16S ribosomal RNA". It matches the Rfam family "Bacterial small subunit ribosomal RNA", at positions 28 to 507 of the family's 1533-position model. The record is from RNAcentral.
GAUGAACGCUGGCGGCGUGCCUAAUACAUGCAAGUCGAGCGAACAGACGAGGAGCUUGCUCCUCUGACGUUAGCGGCGGACGGGUGAGUAACACGUGGAUAACCUACCUAUAAGACUGGGAUAACUUCGGUAAACCGGAGCUAAUACCGGAUAAUAUAUUGAACCGCAUGGUUCAAUAGUGAAAGACGGUUUUGCUGUCACUUAUAGAUGGAUCCGCGCCGCAUUAGCUAGUUGGUAAGGUAACGGCUUACCAAGGCAACGAUGCGUAGCCGACCUGAGAGGGUGAUCGGCCACACUGGAACUGAGACACGGUCCAGACUCCUACGGGAGGCAGCAGUAGGGAAUCUUCCGCAAUGGGCGAAAGCUUGACGGAGCAACGCCGCGUGAGUGAUGAAGGUCUUCGGAUCGUAAAACUCUGUUAUUAGGGAAGAACAAAUGUGUAAGUAACUAUGCACGUCUUGACGGUACCUAAUCAGAAAGCCACGGCUAACUACGUG